RNAcentral lists this non-coding RNA (74 nucleotides) under unclassified sequences. Its description in RNAcentral is "Gut-1 RNA". It matches the Rfam family "Gut-1 RNA". RNAcentral also lists the same sequence under 1 other name. The record is from RNAcentral.
CAAUGAAAUCCGUCCUGCGGACGGGUGAAAUCCUGCCGUGCAGGAUGCAAUACGCGCCGCGUGUGAAAUCGCUG